AGGGAACUGUUAGAUCACAGCUUGAACUGGUGAUUGAGCACCUGGUGAAGGGGUGUGGCUGGCCCAGGGAGCACAGACAAAUUGUUUGCACCUGUGUUCCCCAUGUGACCAGAAGGGAUGGACCCAGGCUGGAAGCACCCUGGGCACAUAUAAGGGCCAGCCACUGAAGGGUGAGUGUCUUUUCUACUGUUUCCUGUGAAGGAGUGCUGUGUAGCUAGAGAGCCUUCCCCAGCUGAGUGAGUGCUAGUGCUCUUUCUAUAUAUGACUUUAGGCCUAUCUGUGGGUAUUUAGCCUGCUAUUGCUUAGAACCUGUCAGAAGUUGAUUUUGUUUCUUCAUAGCAUCGGUUAUUUUAUUUAUUUACUGAUAUGUUUUGAACCAUAAUUAAUUCUUGUUCACCAUAUGAAAGAUCAAGGUUCUUCCAUCUUAAAAUUCCCACUCCUCCUAGGGGAAGGGAGGCUUUGCUCUCUUUAGAUCAUUAGAAGUAGCUUGAAGUCAGAAACUAUGAGCUGUAAGGCAGGUCAGCGAGAUGUGAGGUGCUCUUGAGUGCUGGUUCUCUGCACAAAGCAGGCUGAGAUUGAAUCAGUGUUCUCAUAGAAGAUAAUUGAGAUGCGAAGUACUUACAGCAUUGGCUACAGGUGGGAUUCCUUUGAGACUCUGCAGCUGAGGAGCAUACUUCAAUUCUUCUACAGCAGCCAGAUUGUUAGAGAAUUAGCAGAGCAUAUAACAGUAACUGGAGGAAGAACCCAGAGUUUUCUUGUUUAUUUCUGCAGAAGUUACAGUGGUGACAACCUAUCUGAAGCACAACAAAGCAUCAUAAUCUCAUUGCAAAGCAUAUGUGCGAUGCCAUAAAAAGCCUAUAGAUAGUGUAGUAUUGUGCAGUAUCUUUCCAUAAAGGUAUUCUUGUUUGUUUUUGAUGGGGAGUUGUAGAAUUGCUGAAAUUAGUGGAGUGAAAGGCUUUUCUGUGCCUGUCUAACAGAACUGAGAAAUAUGAAAGCUUCAAAUAGCUUUUUUACAAGCUGUUUUCAAGCCUGAAAUAGUCUAGUCUUGAGGGGAUGGGAAACAAGUAUCCUGAUUCCAUCAGCUGUUAAUGUUUAGUUCUGUGGUCCCUUUAAUAACAAGCCCAGUGAAAAAAAGGGAAAGUUGAAUGAAUACAUUUUUUGACAUUUUGUUUAUUAGUAUUUUAUCUAGGCUAGUAGUAAAUGAAUAGACUUGUCAGCAGAAAUCUCUUGGUGAAACAAAUAAAGAAUCUUAAAAGGCAGAGAGAACA
RNAcentral lists this long non-coding RNA (1268 nucleotides) under Phasianus colchicus (ring-necked pheasant). RNAcentral's name for it is "lncRNA (ENSPCLG00000022113.1)". Lineage: Eukaryota; Metazoa; Chordata; Aves; Galliformes; Phasianidae. The record is from RNAcentral.